Molecule: long non-coding RNA, 429 nt
Filed under: Rattus norvegicus (Norway rat)
Lineage: Eukaryota; Metazoa; Chordata; Mammalia; Rodentia; Muridae
Description: long non-coding RNA NONRATT001996
Source: RNAcentral
AAAACCAUCCAGGCUGGACAAGGCAACCCAACAGAAGGAAAAGAGCCCUCAUUUACAUUCAUAUUCUUCUUCAGGACUCCCAUAAAGAUACUAAACUGAAAGCUACAACAUAGCAUGCAGAAGACUUGGUACAGAACCAUGAAGACCUUGUGCUUGCUGCUUUAGUCUCUUGUUGGACUCUAGGCAGGAUUUAAGGGUACAAAUAGCAGGUGUGAUAAGUGUUCAUGUUGAUGAGUAUAUAGGAGCCUAUGUGAUGCAUAUUCUACAUCUGAUGUCAGGACAAAGAGCAUUCUCAGCACAGUAGGUAUCUCUCCUGUGUGCUUCUCAGUCAAAUCUAGUUCCAAACCCAUCACUCUCCUUUUGCUGUCAAUAAUGAUUAUUGUUAUCUUGCUGGAUUUUAUUUGAAAUAAAAUAGAUAAAUUGGUGUUU